GAGAGGUACUGCAUGGCCGUCGUCAGCUCGUGUUGUGAAAUGUUGGGUUAAGUCUCGCAACGAGCGCAACCCCUAUCGUCUGUUGCCAGCAUUAAGUUGGGCACUCUGACGAGACUGCCUGGGUUAACCAGGAGGAAGGUGGGGAUGACGUCAAGUCCUCAUGGCCCUUAUGUCUAGGGCUACACACGUAAUACAAUGGCGCGUACAAAGGGAAGCGAACUUGCAAGGGGGAGCAAAUCUCAAAAAGCGCGUCUCAGUCCGGAUUGGAGUCUGCAACUCGACUCCAUGAAGUUGGAAUCGCUAGUA
This 306-nucleotide ribosomal RNA is filed under the name uncultured Peredibacter sp. Its description in RNAcentral is "bacterial SSU rRNA". It matches the Rfam family "Bacterial small subunit ribosomal RNA", at positions 1033 to 1340 of the family's 1533-position model. The record is from RNAcentral. Lineage: Bacteria; Pseudomonadati; Bdellovibrionota; Bacteriovoracia; Bacteriovoracales; Bacteriovoracaceae.